This 424-nucleotide ribosomal RNA is filed under the name uncultured bacterium. RNAcentral describes it as "bacterial SSU rRNA". It matches the Rfam family "Bacterial small subunit ribosomal RNA", at positions 355 to 776 of the family's 1533-position model. The record is from RNAcentral.
UAAGGAAUAUUGGUCAAUGGACGCAAGUCUGAACCAGCCAUGCCGCGUGAAGGAUGAAAGCCCUCUGGGUUGUAAACUUCUUUUAUCUGGGAAGAAACCACCUUUUUCUAAGGGUGUUGACGGUACCAGAGGAAUAAGCACCGGCUAACUCCGUGCCAGCAGCCGCGGUAAUACGGAGGGUGCAAGCGUUAUCCGGAUUCACUGGGUUUAAAGGGUGCGUAGGCGGAUUAUUAAGUCCGUGGUGAAAUCUCCAAGCUUAACUUGGAAACUGCCAUGGAUACUAUUAGUCUUGAAUGUUGUGGAGGUUAGCGGAAUAUGUCAUGUAGCGGUGAAAUGCAUAGAUAUGACAUAGAACACCAAUUGCGAAGGCAGCUGGCUACACAAAUAUUGACGCUGAGGCACGAAAGCGUGGGGAUCAAACAGG